GACGUAGGGCGCGAGCGUUGUCCGGAUUUAUUGGGCGUAAAGAGCUCGUAGGCGGCUUGUCGCGUCGUCCGUGAAAACUUGGGGCUCAACCCCAAGCUUGCGGUCGAUACGGGCAGGCUAGAGUUCGGUAGGGGAGACUGGAAUUCCUGGUGUAGCGGUGAAAUGCGCAGAUAUCAGGAGGAACACCGGUGGCGAAGGCGGGUCUCUGGGCCGAUACUGACGCUGAGGUGCGAAAGCAUGGGGAGCAAACAGG
RNAcentral lists this ribosomal RNA (253 nucleotides) under uncultured bacterium. Its description in RNAcentral is "partial 16S ribosomal RNA". It matches the Rfam family "Bacterial small subunit ribosomal RNA", at positions 524 to 776 of the family's 1533-position model. The record is from RNAcentral.